Molecule: ribosomal RNA, 377 nt
Filed under: uncultured cyanobacterium
Lineage: Bacteria; Bacillati; Cyanobacteriota
Description: bacterial SSU rRNA
Rfam family: Bacterial small subunit ribosomal RNA
Source: RNAcentral
CGAAAGCCUGACGGAGCAACGCCGCGUGAGGGAGGAAGGCUCUUGGGUUGUAAACCUCUUUUCUCAAGGAAGAUAAUGACGGUACCUGAGGAAUCAGCAUCGGCUAACUCCGUGCCAGCAGCCGCGGUAAUACGGAGGAUGCAAGCGUUAUCCGGAAUAAUUGGGCGUAAAGCGUUCGUAGGUGGUGAUGUAAGUCUGCUGUUAAAGCGUGUAGCUUAACUACAUAUAGGCGGUGGAAACUACAUGACUAGAGUGCGUUCGGGGCAGAGGGAAUUCCUGGUGUAGCGGUGAAAUGCGUAGAUAUCAGGAAGAACACCGGUGGCGAAGGCGCUCUGCUAGGCCGUAACUGACACUGAGGGACGAAAGCUAGGGGAGCG